RNAcentral lists this ribosomal RNA (465 nucleotides) under Vreelandella stevensii. RNAcentral's name for it is "partial 16S ribosomal RNA". It matches the Rfam family "Bacterial small subunit ribosomal RNA", at positions 338 to 795 of the family's 1533-position model. The record is from RNAcentral. Lineage: Bacteria; Pseudomonadati; Pseudomonadota; Gammaproteobacteria; Oceanospirillales; Halomonadaceae.
CCCACGGGGGGCAGCAGUGGGGAAUAUUGGACAAUGGGCGAAAGCCUGAUCCAGCCAUGCCGCGUGUGUGAAGAAGGCCUUCGGGUUGUAAAGCACUUUCAGUGGGGAAGAAAGCCUUGGGGCUAAUACCCUCGAGGAAGGACAUCACCCACAGAAGAAGCACCGGCUAACUCCGUGCCAGCAGCCGCGGUAAUACGGAGGGUGCGAGCGUUAAUCGGAAUUACUGGGCGUAAAGCGCGCGUAGGCGGUCUGAUAAGCCGGUUGUGAAAGCCCCGGGCUCAACCUGGGAACGGCAUCCGGAACUGUCAGGCUAGAGUGCAGGAGAGGAAGGUAGAAUUCCCGGUGUAGCGGUGAAAUGCGUAGAGAUCGGGAGGAAUACCAGUGGCGAAGGCGGCCUUCUGGACUGACACUGACGCUGAGGUGCGAAAGCGUGGGUAGCAAACAGGAUUAGAUACCCUGGUAGUC